Myotis davidii is the source of this 1025-nucleotide long non-coding RNA. RefSeq lists it as uncharacterized. The record is from RefSeq and is a predicted model, not a curated record. The transcript has 4 exons. Lineage: Eukaryota; Metazoa; Chordata; Mammalia; Chiroptera; Vespertilionidae.
GUUUCAUUGCUUGGUAUAAAUCCCCAGGCUGAAGCGAAUGACACUUCACUGGGGAGAAGCAGUGCGUCUUAUCAUAGGACUGGGCAGCUCUCCGUGCAAGGUGUCGCUGACAGGGCUUGGCUUUUGCCAAGAUGCACAGGUAGGAAGCUGCACCCGUGUGUGCCCGUUUGUGCCCGUUCGGCAUGUGCACGUGAAGCCUGGAAGGAUUUUCUGUGGAUCCACAAAUGGAUUUCCAAGGAGGAGCCGGUCUAAGCACACGCCGCUUCCAUGUGUUACGCGUGGCCCAUCCCGCCAGGACCCUGAGGGAAGGGUUGCAGCUGCUUGAGCUCUGCCCGGAGCUCUGGGCCAUGUGCUGGGCAGAAAGCUGAACCUAGACCGAGAGAGAGAAGCAUCUAGAGACGUGUAGAGGAGCACGCCCCUCUCCACCCUCCUGGGGGUCUCCUGGAUAUUUCUGAGCGUAAGAGCGUCUUCUCCCAGCAGGCAGCCACGGCUGUCUCUUUUCUUCCUUGUCUAGUGGAGUUUCCUAGGUGUAGAAGUUUCCCAGGAGCAUUUGUGAGCAGUCUAAGGAAGAUUCACUCAGUCAGAAGGGGUGGCAUUAACAAAUGAUUCCCUUUUUAACUCGGCCUGGGCCUCAUUCGAACGCCCGUUUUCAGCCUGAGCUUGAACCUGAAUCAAGAAAGAAAACAUGAGUUGCCCGGUCCACUCCCCAUGCCUAGGAGACCCCGAAAAUUAACAAGGACAUUCUUGUUGGGCCCUAACCUUGUAUUUGCAAUGUUUCUGCUUCCUGGCGAGGCUGUGGUGUGGGAAUUGGAGGGAGGUCUUGCUGUGAUAGGGAAAGGUUCAAGUUCACUGCCCAGGACCAGCUUUUGACAGCCAGGAAGCCCGCUGUUUUGGAGAGGAGGGUAAGUGGUGGGGGUGGUGGGGGGGCUGGUGGCCAACUCAGUUGCUCAGAAUCUUGUGAGGAAUGGUAGCAGCUUCCUGGUGCCCGUGCCAAGCUGCCCCACAGCACGGUUGAGGGGCCGCCU